RNAcentral lists this ribosomal RNA (468 nucleotides) under uncultured bacterium. RNAcentral describes it as "partial 16S ribosomal RNA". It matches the Rfam family "Bacterial small subunit ribosomal RNA", at positions 28 to 507 of the family's 1533-position model. The record is from RNAcentral.
GACGAACGCUGGCGGCGUGCUUAACGCAUGCAAGUCGAACGGAAAGGCCCUGCUUUUGUGGGGUGCUCGAGUGGCGAACGGGUGAGUAACACGUGAGUAACCUGCCCUUGACUUUGGGAUAACUUCAGGAAACUGGGGCUAAUACCGGAUAGGAGCUCCUGCUGCAUGGUGGGGGUUGGAAAGUUUCGGCGGUUGGGGAUGGACUCGCGGCUUAUCAGCUUGUUGGUGGGGUAGUGGCUUACCAAGGCUUUGACGGGUAGCCGGCCUGAGAGGGUGACCGGCCACAUUGGGACUGAGAUACAGCCCAGACGCCUACGGGAGGCAGCAGUGGGGAAUAUUGCACAAUGGGCGGAAGCCUGAUGCAGCAACGCCGCGUGCGGGAUGACGGCCUUCGGGUUGUAAACCGCUUUCGCCUGUGACGAAGCGUGAGUGACGGUAAUGGGUAAAGAAGCACCGGCUAACUACGUG